Molecule: ribosomal RNA, 497 nt
Filed under: uncultured bacterium
Lineage: Bacteria
Description: partial 16S ribosomal RNA
Rfam family: Bacterial small subunit ribosomal RNA
Source: RNAcentral
GACGAACGCUGGCGGCGUGCCUAAUACAUGCAAGUUGAGCGCUGAAGGUUGGUACUUGUACCGACUGGAUGAGCAGCGAACGGGUGAGUAACGCGUGGGGAAUCUGCCUUUGAGCGGGGGACAACAUUUGGAAACGAAUGCUAAUACCGCAUAAAAACUUUAAACACAAGUUGUAAGUUUGAAAGAUGCAAUUGCAUCACUCAAAGAUGAUCCCGCGUUGUAUUAGCUAGUUGGUGAGGUAAAGGCUCACCAAGGUGAUGAUACAUAGCCGACCUGAGAGGGUGGGUGGCCACCCUGGGACGGUGACACGCCCCAUUGGGCUUGGGGAGGCAGCAGGAGGGAAACUUCGGCAAGGGGCGGAAGUCUGAGCGAGAAACGCCGAGGGAGUGAGGAAGGUUGUCGGAUCGUAAAACUCGGUUGGUAGAGAAGAACGUUGGUGCGAGUGUAAAGCACAGCAAGUGACGGUAACUACUCAGAAAGCGCCGGCUAACUACGUG